RNAcentral lists this non-coding RNA (603 nucleotides) under Soboliphyme baturini. RNAcentral describes it as "Eukaryotic large subunit ribosomal RNA". It matches the Rfam family "Eukaryotic large subunit ribosomal RNA", at positions 2391 to 3003 of the family's 3401-position model. Lineage: Eukaryota; Metazoa; Nematoda; Enoplea; Dioctophymatida; Soboliphymatidae. The record is from Rfam by way of RNAcentral.
UAAUCAGUGGGAAAAGAAGACCCUGUUCAGCUUCACUUUAAAUUGACUUUGUGAGGACACUUAAUCGGUGUAGCAUAAGUGAGAGAUCGGUUCGUCCGAUCAUUAGUGAAAUGGUACUGUUUUGUAUAGCUCUUUUACUAAUUCGAUGAAGUCGACAGAGUCAUUAAAUAGUCGUGCUACAUAUUUGCUAAUUGUUAUUUACUGUCUAUCUUGAAGAGAGUGUCAGACUGGGAGUUUGAUUGAUGCGGUACAUCUGUGAAAAUUUAACGAAGGUGUCCCAAGAAGAGCUUAGUGAGACCAAAACCUCACGAAGAAUAAAAGGGCGAAACCUCCGUUGAUUUUGCUUUUUGGUACGAAUAGAGACCUUGAGAGCUAAGUCUGUCGAUCCUUUUGAGUUCGUUGACUUCACAUAAGAGGUUUCAGGAAAGUUACUACAGGGAUAGCUGGCUCGUGGCAGCCAAACGUCAUUAUUUGAUCCUUCGAUGUCGGCACUUACCAUUGCGAAGCAGAGUUCCCAAACUGCUGGACUGUUCAACCCACUAACAGGGAAUGACAGCUGGGUUUAGACCGUCGUGAAACAGGUUGUUUUUAUCCUAUCGAUGA